UGGCUCUCGCAUCGAUGAAGAACGCAGCGAAAUGCGAUAAGUAAUGUGAAUUGCAGAAUUCAGUGAAUCAUCGAAUCUUUGAACGCACCUUGCGCUCCCUGGUAUUCCUAGGAGCAUGCCUGUUUGAGUGUCGUGAACAUAUCAACCCCAUAAAGAUUUUGGUCUCUAUGGUGGCUUGGAUUUGGGGGCUUGCUGGCCAUUAAUUUGGUCGGCUCUCCUUAAAUGCAUUAGCUUUGGACUUGUUCUGUAGGCUGCUUGGCGUGAUAAUUAUCUACGCUUUGCAAUCGUCUGUGGAAUAUUAUGGGUCUAGCUUCUAAUCGUCCUCUGGACAAUCUUCAUUCAUUUUGACCUCAAAUCAGGUAGGACUACCCGCUGA
Molecule: unclassified non-coding RNA, 376 nt
Filed under: uncultured fungus
Lineage: Eukaryota; Fungi
Description: partial contains 5.8S ribosomal RNA and internal transcribed spacer 2
Rfam family: 5.8S ribosomal RNA (bases 1-133)
Source: RNAcentral